ACCUACGGGGGGCAGCAGUGAGGAAUAUUGGUCAAUGGGCGGAAGCCUGAACCAGCCAAGUCGCGUGAGGGAAUAAGGCCCUACGGGUCGUAAACCUCUUUUGCCGGGGAGCAAGGGCCGGGACGCGUCCCGGCCCGGAGAGUACCCGGAGAAAAAGCAUCGGCUAACUCCGUGCCAGCAGCCGCGGUAAUACGGAGGAUGCGAGCGUUAUCCGGAUUUAUUGGGUUUAAAGGGUGCGUAGGCGGGCUUUUAAGUCAGCGGUCAAAUGUCGGGGCUCAACCCCGGCCUGCCGUUGAAACUGGCGG
This 305-nucleotide ribosomal RNA is filed under the name uncultured bacterium. Its description in RNAcentral is "bacterial SSU rRNA". It matches the Rfam family "Bacterial small subunit ribosomal RNA", at positions 337 to 639 of the family's 1533-position model. The record is from RNAcentral.